Molecule: ribosomal RNA, 253 nt
Filed under: uncultured bacterium
Lineage: Bacteria
Description: partial 16S ribosomal RNA
Rfam family: Bacterial small subunit ribosomal RNA
Source: RNAcentral
UACGAAGGGUCCAAGCGUUAUCCGGAUUUAUUGGGUUUAAAGGGUGCGCAGGCGGGGCUUUAAGUCAGUGGUGAAAUCUCGUAGCUCAACUACGAAACUGCCAUUGAUACUGAAGUUCUUGAAUGUAGUUGACGUUAGUGGAAUGUGUCAUGUAGCGGUGAAAUGCUUAGAUAUGACACAGAACACCGAUCGCGAAGGCAGCUAACGAAGCUAUUAUUGACGCUCAGGCACGACAGCAUGGGGAGCAAACAGG